This 258-nucleotide long non-coding RNA is filed under the name Trifolium pratense (red clover). RNAcentral describes it as "long non-coding RNA (TPRA_LNC004468)". Lineage: Eukaryota; Viridiplantae; Streptophyta; Magnoliopsida; Fabales; Fabaceae. The record is from RNAcentral.
AGUUCAGAUAUGCUCCAUUAGCUUAUCCUCUAGUUUCUUCCAGUUCCUAUCCUAGAUCGUGACACGUGGAAAACAAAAAUCCAAUGGUUCAAAUUAAAAAUUGGAAAAAAGUUGUAACAACAUCAUGUCUUUCUUCUUCCUAUUCCUCCACAAUUUUCUGGUUGUUUCUUCUCUCAAAGUAAUCGGAUUUUGAAUUUUUGAUUAUGAAUUUGGAAGAUUUUUCACUCCUCCUUUCUUCCCCAUGGAUACAACAAUUAC